Molecule: ribosomal RNA, 1321 nt
Filed under: uncultured bacterium
Lineage: Bacteria
Description: bacterial SSU rRNA
Rfam family: Bacterial small subunit ribosomal RNA
Source: RNAcentral
UCAGGACGAACGCUGGCGGCGCGCCUAACACAUGCAAGUCGAACGAGAGAGAGGGAGCUUGCUUCCUCGAUCGAGUGGCGAACGGGUGAGUAACGCGUGAGGAACCUGCCUCAAAGAGGGGGACAACAGUUGGAAACGACUGCUAAUACCGCAUAAGCCCACAACCCGGCAUCGGGAAGAGGGAAAAGGAGCAAUCCGCUUUGAGAUGGCCUCGCGUCCGAUUAGCUAGUUGGUGAGGUAACGGCCCACCAAGGCGACGAUCGGUAGCCGGACUGAGAGGUUGAACGGCCACAUCGGGACUGAGACACGGCCCAGACUCCUACGGGAGGCAGCAGUGGGGAAUAUUGCACAAUGGGGGAAACCCUGAUGCAGCGACGCCGCGUGGAGGAAGAAGGUCUUCGGAUUGUAAACUCCUGUUGUUGAGGAAGAUAAUGACGGUACUCAACAAGGAAGUGACGGCUAACUACGUGCCAGCAGCCGCGGUAAAACGUAGGUCACAAGCGUUGUCCGGAAUUACUGGGUGUAAAGGGAGCGCAGGCGGGCGAUCAAGUUGAAAGUGAAAUCCAUGGGCUCAACCCAUGAACUGCUUUCAAAACUGGUCGUCUUGAGUAGUGCAGAGGUAGGCGGAAUUCCCGGUGUAGCGGUGGAAUGCGUAGAUAUCGGGAGGAACACCAGUGGCGAAGGCGGCCUACUGGGCACCAACUGACGCUGAGGCUCGAAAGUGUGGGUAGCAAACAGGAUUAGAUACCCUGGUAGUCCACACCGUAAACGAUGAUUGGUGGGGUGGUGGGAGAUUGACCCUCUCAGUGCCGCAGUUAACACAAUAAGUAAUCCACCGGGGGAGUACGACCGCAAGGUUGAAACUCAAAGGAAUUGACGGGGGCCCGCACAAGCAGUGGAGUAUGUGGUUUAAUUCGACGCAACGCGAAGAACCUUACCAAGUCUUGACAUCCCUUGACGAUGCUGGAAACAGUAUUUCUCUUCGGAGCAAGGAGACAGGUGGUGCAUGGUUGUCGUCAGCUCGUGUCGUGAGAUGUUGGGUUAAGCCCCGCAACGAGCGCAACCCUUAUGGUCAGUUACUACGCAAGAGGACUCUGGCCAGACUGCCGUUGACAAAACGGAGGAAGGUGGGGAUGACGUCAAAUCAUCAUGCCCUUUAUGACUUGGGCUACACACGUACUACAAUGGCGUUAAACAAAGAGAAGCAAGACCGCGAGGUGGAGCAAAACUCAGAAACAACGUCCCAGUUCGGACUGCAGGCUGCAACUCGCCUGCACGAAGUCGGAAUAGGUAGUAAUCGUGGAUCAGCAUGCCACGGUGA